AGAGUUUGAUCCUGGCUCAGGAUGAACGCUGGCGGCGUGCCUAACACAUGCAAGUCGAACGGGAUCCCUUGGAUUCGUCUGAGGGUGAGAGUGGCGAACGGGUGAGUAACACGUAGGUGACCUGCCCCGAAGUGGGGAAUAACCAUUGGAAACGGUGGCUAAUACCCCAUAUGCUCGACGGUUCGGUCUGUCGAGUAAAGUUCUGGCGCUUCGGGAGGGGCCUGCGGCCCAUCAGGUAGUUGGUAGGGUAAUGGCCUACCAAGCCUAUGACGGGUAGGGGGCGUGAGAGCGUGAUCCCCCACACUGGCACUGAGACACGGGCCAGACUCCUACGGGAGGCAGCAGUGAGGAAUAUUGCCCAAUGGACGCAAGUCUGAGGCAGCAACGCCGCGUGGGCGACGAAGGCCUUCGGGUUGUAAAGCCCUUUUCUGAGGGACGAGAAAGGACGGUACCUCAGGAAUAAGUCACGGCUAACUACGUGCCAGCAGCCGCGGUAAUACGUAGGUGGCCAGCGUUAUCCGGAUUUACUGGGCGUAAAGCGCGUGCAGGCGGUUCUGUAAGUCGGACGUGAAAGCUCCUGGCUUAACUGGGAGAGGUCGUUCGAUACUGCGGGGCUUGAGGUCGGGAGAGGGACGUGGAAUUCCCGGUGUAGUGGUGGAAUGCGUAGAUAUCGGGAGGAACACCAGUGGCGAAGGCGGCGUCCUGGCCCGCACCUGACGCUAAGACGCGAAAGCGUGGGUAGCGAACGGGAUUAGAUACCCCGGUAGUCC
RNAcentral lists this ribosomal RNA (770 nucleotides) under uncultured bacterium. RNAcentral describes it as "bacterial SSU rRNA". It matches the Rfam family "Bacterial small subunit ribosomal RNA", at positions 8 to 796 of the family's 1533-position model. The record is from RNAcentral.